CACUUUCCUUGUUCCUUCGUGCCCCUCGAGCCCCACGCACCUUCUCUCUCGAGCACGCAACCUCUUCUUCCCUCUCCAAAGAUCUCUCUCCUUUGACUGGAUCGGCUCGCUCGCUCGACCGCCGGGACCAUGUCGCUGCCGACGCCGACGGCCGCCAGCGAGGACAGGUUGGAUCUGGACGGCGUGCUCGUAGCGCCUCUCACCAUCUGCAGAGCGGGGCGGUGGAUUCAUCUGCUCCCACCUCUUCGAGCACCUCAUGGCCGAGACCCCGGACUCCGUCCUCGCCGUCGACAUCUACUGCUACAAGAUCCGCCGCCUCGUCGACCCACCCCCGCCCCACCUCGCCCGCUGCAGCAACUUCCACCUCCUCAACGUCAAGAACAACUCCGGCCUGGAGGGCCUCAUCAAGAUGGUCGAUCUGGUGCGCCCCUCCCCACCUCCCCUCCUUCCCCGCUCGCUUUUGUCCUCUAAUGGUGGAUUGGUCUGCGAAAAAGGAAUGCUAGGGUUGAUUUUUCCGUCUUUGUUUCUGUAAAAAAGAGGAAGUGGGAUCGACGCUCUUAUCCUCUAAUGGUGGAUUGGUCUGUGAAAAAGGAAUGCUAGGCCCGAUUUUUCCGUCUUUUUUUCUGUAAAAGAGAGGAAGUGGGAUCAACCUGCAGAGGAUUUGGUCGCCGCGGCUGCGGCGGCGAGACUGCCCAUCUUUCAAUUCUGUGGCACUACUGCAUAUCCUGCCGCGGCCACUCGUUCCACCGGUGCUUCAGAGUGCUGCUGCUGCUGCUGCAAUUCAGAAACUAAGUCAGGUCUGUGCUCCAUGAUACAGUCCCUACCCCCCAUAUGAGCAAGCUAGCCUAUGUAUUAUUGGGACUAAGUAUUCAUAUUUACUAUCUCUGUGUUGUUGCCUCAGGCAAAACUAGUGGCUGAGCUUAUAGCACUAGAAAUUUAAACAUAUAAGGCUGCUAGCCAACUUGCCUCCACUGUGCUCCCCCAAUUGGGCCUUUGUUGGCCGUUGGAUCUGGUCAUUUAGAGCGUUUGAGCCGUUGGAUGUUUACCUGCUGUCAAACCCAAUUUCACCUCGUGGUCAUUUUUGCCGUCCAAUGACUGGUGGGCUCGCGCUAUGCGUUUAUUGGCUGGGUCGGUCGUUCUCGCGUGGAAGAGGCUUUUGCCCAAUCCCCGCGCGUGCUCCGCUUCCAAUCCUCCUCGCGGGGUUGCUGCGCCAGAGCCCACACCCGCCCCAACCCUAGCCGCCACACCUCUCCUUCCUCCCUCGCUUGACACCAUAGGCGUUGCACCCCCUCCCCUCCUUCCUGCUCGGGCGGAUAGCCGCCGGCCGCCGCAUCCCUUCUCCCCCUUCCUCCUCCUUCCUCCUUCCCGCUGGCGCCCAUCGCCCUCGUCCUCGGACAAGGGGCCUUCCACAGGGAUGGCCACGUCUUCAAACCAGGGGUAGAGGAGCACGGGAGGGCCAAGAAGCCGGCAUUGGGGGUGGAGCAGCCAGGCCAAGGAGGACCCAGGUGGUGGACGCGUCAUGGGGUUAAGGACAGGCCGAUGAUAUGAAUAAGUAGGAGGAGUGCCAUGGAUCUGCAGGGAAAGGAGGGCGACGCCCUCGGCGGGCGUCCGAGCAGGAAGCCGGCAGGGAGCACGUCAUCGUAGGCGUCAAGGGAGCCAUGGACAAGCCGCCAGGAGGAGAAAGCUCCCAGUUUGUGGAGGAGACUAUGUGACAGGUGUGUUUCUUCCUGUUUUUCUAACCCCUUUUCUCAUCUUUCCAUGACGACCUGCAAAAUUUUCAAGUUUUUCAGGUGGUGUUUUGGAAUCUAGAUUGAUUUGGUAUUGUAUGUUGUGUGAUGUGCCCUUGCCAAGAAUAUUUGAUGUGUGUGAUGACACGAGCAAUUGUAGAGGAGUGAACACCAUGCUCGAUUAGUGGACUGCCGCUUGAGAAGAAGCUUGUCAUUUGUCUCUUCGAGCCGCGGCGGAUAGGGGCCUUCGAAGAACUUGGGGUUUGACAUAGCCAUCGAGGAAGUGCAGGAUACAAACCAAGUGUAAUCAAAGAGGAUAUGGAUUCAAUACGGACAUGAGUGAAGGAAUGUUACUCCAAUUUGGAUCUUGGAGAAUGUUUUCUCAGUGUGGUUCAGGUUAAAUUGUUCUCCUACUGUUCCUGCUCAACCUCCUAAUGUUCUAUGUCUUCGCCGUGCCUUCUUCCAGCUUCUCUAUUGGUUUUCUCUUCACACCGAUCAGGUCUCUGCGCCAUUUGGCGCAACGGGUCCACUAGUUGUUAUAAAUGAUGCUGAUCAAUCUGUACGGCAUAAGCUCACAAAACGGCAAACACAAAACGAGCCAGCAUAUGAAAAAAUGUACUAAAAACAUUUGAGGCGGUCGAUCCCAACAGCGGAAGAGCAACUAUGCUCGAGAUAGCAGGGAGGCUGUCCAAGCUAGAAAAUAAAGGAUGGAGGCCAAGGCGAACAAUCAUCUCUGCAGUUGGGAUGCAGAAGAGUUUGCGCUGGGCCUACGGAAUGGACCGAGGAGGACAUGGAUAUGCUUGCUUCAAGAGGUGUUGCUUAUCUGAAUGUAGACAUGUCAAUGUUUGGGCCUGGAAGUCUUAUGCCCCCUGCAACACCACAACUCGAUGAAUUAAUCAAUGAAGCAAGCAGAAUGGUAGCCGAUCCUGAUGAUCCGUAUCAUACCUUGUAUGACUACAUGGCACAAAUGAGCGAUCAUGAGAGCUUCAUUUGAUUGAAACAUACUGAAGUAUUAAGCUCCUAUUUUCAUACUGCAAGAGUGGCCGGUGCAGGAACAGAUUUUGCAGCUUUUGUCGAGCACAUUGGAGUCCCUUCACUUGACAUCUCUUAUGGAUUAUUUUCAGAAUACCCUGUCUACCACUCACUGUACGAUGAUUUUGAUUGGAUGGAGCAGUUUGGAGACCCUUUGUUCCACAGACAUGUAAUGAUGAGAUCAUUCCCUUCAAUUAUGUCCUCUACGUGUCUGAACUGGAGGUAUUUUCUCUUCUGGCAACUGAGAUAGACACACAGGGUAAUCCCCUAAUUCAGUUUCAUCAAGGAAACUGAAACAGAAUCAUGAAUUCAUGAUAGACUCGCUUCUUAUUGAUCGGUACACACAAUUUUUUUCAUGAAAUUAUCAUUAAGUGUGGCAUGUAGAAGUAGCUCCAACAAUUACUUGAAACAUGGACUAUCUGCUGUCCUCAUGACAACAGAUGUUGCAAGCACAAAAGAAGGGCCAUAACACGAGGGUAAGCAUGCUGAAAGUCAAAGAGAUCAAUGACCGAUGGACGAUGGCGGAGCGAGCCUUCACCAACCAAGAGUGGCUCGGAGGGAGACCGUGGUCCAAACAUAUGAUGAGCAUCAAAGCUGCAGGCUUGUUACAUAGUACUGUAGUUGUCUGAACUCCGAAGUUAUUCUGAAACUAACCACAGUAAUGGUUUUUCUCCUUCGGCAGAUUUAUGCCUCGUCGGACCAGGACGACUGGUGGGUACCAAAGCCUUCCCCGGCAUCGUCUCGGCCAUCGUGAACGCGCAGGAGCUCAACACGUCGGAAUCUUGGCGGCUGUUGCGGCAUGAGAUUUACAUGGGUGCAAGGACCUUAUCUGUUAUGAAAUGGCAUAUUGUUAUUCGUAUGUGUAUUAUUGACUUGCCAAAUUCUUGACCGCCUAUGGUAUGAUCAGAUCAAUAUAAAGAGUGUGGCUUCUAUUCUUUUAACA
Molecule: long non-coding RNA, 3702 nt
Organism: Triticum aestivum (bread wheat)
Lineage: Eukaryota; Viridiplantae; Streptophyta; Magnoliopsida; Poales; Poaceae
Exons: 11
Source: RefSeq, a predicted model, not a curated record